This 636-nucleotide ribosomal RNA is filed under the name uncultured soil bacterium. RNAcentral describes it as "bacterial SSU rRNA". It matches the Rfam family "Bacterial small subunit ribosomal RNA", at positions 159 to 771 of the family's 1533-position model. The record is from RNAcentral.
UGAGCUAAUACCGCAUAAUGCAGCGGCUCGACAUCGAGACAGUUGUUAAAGCGGGGGCUCUCGCAAGAGACCUCGCGCCUAAAGAGGAGCCUGCGGCAGAUUAGCUAGUUGGUAAGGUAAUGGCUUACCAAGGCGACGAUCUGUAACCGGCCUGAGAGGGCGGUCGGUCACACUGACACUGACAUACGGGUCAGACUCCUACGGGAGGCAGCAGUCGGGAAUUUUGGGCAAUGGGCGAAAGCCUGACCCAGCAACGCCGCGUGAAGGAUGAAAUCCCUCGGGAUGUAAACUUCGCAAGAAUGGGAAGAAUAAGUAGGGGACAAUACCCCCUAUGAUGACGGUACUAUUUGUAAGCUCCGGCUAACUCCGUGCCAGCAGCCGCGGUAAUACGGGGGGAGCAAGCGUUGUUCGGAUUUACUGGGCGUAAAGGGCGCGUAGGCGGCCACGACAAGUCACUUGUGAAAUCUCCGGGCUUAACUCGGAGCGGUCAAGUGAUACUGUCGGGCUAGAGUGCAGAAGGGGCAACUGGAAUUCUCGGUGUAGCGGUGAAGUGCGUAGAUAUCGAGAGGAACACCUGCGGCGAAGGCGGGUUGCUGGGCUGACACUGACGCUGAGGCGCGAAAGCCAGGGGAGCGA